Molecule: long non-coding RNA, 442 nt
Organism: Marmota flaviventris (yellow-bellied marmot)
Lineage: Eukaryota; Metazoa; Chordata; Mammalia; Rodentia; Sciuridae
Source: RefSeq, a predicted model, not a curated record
GUAAAGGCCACGCCUCCUGUGCGGGCUCUGUGGCGAAGCUCUUCCUGUGUGUGACCCCCUCAUCUUGUUGGAUCACAGCAUCCCGGGGAGCCGGAAGCAAGCAAGACCCUCACUGAACAGGCAAGAAAUGGAGACACAGGGCAGCGAGGUGACUGCCUGUGCUGGAUUCCAAACCAGGCUCUGGCAAAAGAGGAGCCCCCACACCAUGCAUCACGCACCAAAGGCCAAGGGUAAGCGGCUCCACUUGAGAUCAUCUGUGCGGCUACGUCUUCCGUAAGAAUCCACGAACACCCCAAAUUCUGCAAGGCAUCAAGAGAUGGGGCUUCAGCAUCAGAGGAGUGGAGGGCAUUGGGGACACACACCAUGACACAAGAAUGAGGACAGAUCCCAGGGACAACUGGCCAGAUUUAACCGAAUCAAUAAAACCUGAAGACCUGCUGAC